This is a long non-coding RNA of Canis lupus familiaris (dog), 1663 nucleotides long. RefSeq lists it as uncharacterized. Lineage: Eukaryota; Metazoa; Chordata; Mammalia; Carnivora; Canidae. The record is from RefSeq and is a predicted model, not a curated record. The transcript has 4 exons.
GGCCCGCCCAGGACGCGACAACACCACCGGCGGCUCGCGUGCCCCCUCCCCGACUGACGGCGGCCUCUCCGGCGCGCCUCCCGGCUCCCGCCGCCGCUCUCACUGCUCCACCGAAACUUUCCUACUUACCAAACCCGUCGCCAUUACCAAGUCUUUCAAGCUUCGUCUUCCCCCUCCCCUCAACCCCCCGGGGGCCGAGCCUCCUCCCAGCUCUUCCGCCCUCCCAUUGGCCUACGGAACUGCCCUUCGGCGCCUCCCCUUUCCCAUUGGGCGCUCCCGUGGCCCGUCUCGGGAGGCGGGCUUGUAUUGACUUUUGCGUUGUGUUCACUGGGGAAGGCGGCCUGUCAGUCACAGGAGUGAGCGCUCCGGAUUGGACUGCUGCCGAGACUCCGGGGACCCAAGCCAAACUUUGCCCCCGAAAUGGAUUGUGGGUUCGUAGUCUCGGCCUUGCUCUGUUCCGGGAAACCGCGGGCACGAGGAACCGGUUGGACUACAUAUCCCAGAGGCUCAAUAUGGGAAAAAACAGGGAGCCAAGAACUGCACGGGGGAACCGAGAGCUCGCAGGUGCCUGGAGUUUGCCACCCGCUCACCACAACUUGGGAACCCAGUGAGACCAUCAGUACAGUCACACGAACACACCAAAUGCAGGACAGGCACGUCCCCUGCUCUGACUCCUACCUAAACAUUUGACAGUCCCGAUGGCGUGUGCGGAAGCUGCUCGAGGUUUGUUAGUGACCAGAGCCAGUUCUCCGAAGUACUGUCCCCGGGAACACCGAGCGAUUUCCACGGCGCCGUCCUCUUCCACCUCUGACUUCCCCUGACAAGCCCUGAGAUCAGUCCGGCUCCACCGUAUGGACCCUCUGCCCGAAAAGUGAAGCCCACCCCCCCACUGGAACAAACUAUCUCACCGUCUACACUGAGAGGCUGUGAUCAAUGAUUACAUAGUCGCGAGCUCAUCUGUAAAAUUGUUUGAAAUAAUAACAACUCUCCCAUGGCACUUCUUGCUAAAACUAGCCAAGAAAAUAUGACAAAUACAGAGGUAAGAAUUGUGCCCCAAGUCCAGCCUGGGUGGCAGCGUACAUAGUCAGGAACGGAGUGCCAGGUCCCAGCACAGCCCCUGCCCUGCCAGCUGAUCCCGUGCUCCUCGAGAAGCACUCGGAUGGGUACCCCGUGUCCUCUGACAGCAAGCAUCAGCACGGGCACCCACAGAGGAGAAAACCACCAGCCUUACCAGGAAGCAGUCCACGGGGGCCCUGACAUUGUUACAGAUGUCCCACUCCACCUCGGGGCCUCAAAAACGCUUCUGAAAGCCUUUCUAACUACAUCCCCACUUUCCCUUCUUUUUGUUUUUGGGUGAACUCUGAUUUGAUUCCCAAUGAUGCCUUCUGAAUUAAAUAGUACAGGACAGAUGAUAGCAGAUACUGACUUUUCGGGAGCCUCUCAAAGCGAUUCUAGAGAAACUUGUGUAUUCUGAAACUCUUUAGUACAUAUAAUUCAAGAAACACAGUAUCAGAUUACAUCACAAAAAUGUGGACUGUAGAUUUAUGUAAUGUAUGUUUAUAAAUGAUUAAAAGACAAGUAAUAUCUAAAAAGACUAUAAUCUCUUAUCUUUAUUUCAUAAGAGCUUCCUGUUAGAUUUUUAAGUGUUUAAAAUCAUAAUAAG